GAAUAUUGGACAAUGGGGGCAACCCUGAUCCAGCCAUGCCGCGUGUGUGAAGAAGGCCUGUUGGGUGUAAAGCACUUUAAGCAGUGAAGAAGACUCCAUGGUUAAUAGCCAUGGACGAUGACAGUAGCGGCAGAAUAAGCACCGGCUAACGCUGUGCACGCAGCCGCGGUACUACAGAGGGUGCAAGCGUUACUCGGAAUUACUGGGCGUAACGCGAGCGUAGGUGGCUUGAUAAGUCAGAUGUGAAAUCCCCGGGCUUAACCUGGGAACUGCAUCUGAUACUGUUAGGCUAGAAUAGGUGAGAGGAAGGUAGAAUUCCAGGUGUAGCGGUGAAAUGCGUAGAGAUCUGGAGGAAUACCGAUGGCGAAGGCAGCCUUCUGGCAUCAUAUUGACACUGAGGUUCGAAAGCGUGGGUAGCAAAC
Molecule: ribosomal RNA, 422 nt
Filed under: uncultured bacterium
Lineage: Bacteria
Description: partial 16S ribosomal RNA
Rfam family: Bacterial small subunit ribosomal RNA
Source: RNAcentral